GUUGAUGUAAUGAUAUCCACCUUGCAAAAGCGUUUCAAUAUGCGGGUCUAUCCUUGGUGGGACCUUCGAGUUCCUUUUGGAUAGGGUCGCAUAUUGGGCGUGACAUGUACUGUGUUGGUAGUUGGCUCCUUUCUUUUCUCUUCUUUCGCCAUCGUACCCAUCUUGCUGAUCUGAUGUGUAUCUAUCAAUUUGAUGCAACGUUGUCAUCUUAUUUUCAUGACGGCAUGGUCUCUCGACGUGUGAUGGAUUCACUCACACGGAGGAAGCUUUUCUCCGCUACUCCGGCGACAAGCGCACAAGCUUUUGGGUCCAUGGCGCCACCGGUAAACAAGAACAACUCUGGGUGCUUGGUUCUGUCUCUGGAUAAGUGAAAAUAGAUGGCAGCGAAGUUGAACUGGUUUUGCAAACACUAGCAAGUAUUUCUUCAUCGCUUCCAUCGUGCAAGUUGCGCUAGCAUUGCGGGCAUUUUUCUUCAUAUUUGGGAAGAGGGGAUGAGGUUGAAAAAUGAAGCUGGUGAUGAAAAGAAUGGAGGGCACCCGCAAAGUGAUGACGAGGAAGGAGCCCUGCAGGAGACAGCUUUCAGAGCUUGAAGAAGAUGGUCUCACAUCCACGUUGAUCUAUGAAAAUAGCAAGCGGCGGCGGCGACGGACUGGUCACCCCGCAACACCAUUCUUCCUUCACGGUAACUAGCUACGACAAGUGCUUCCGUCAUUUCUUUCGUGUUGAGAAGGCAGAGUCAAGGGCGCGAACAUGAGGUAUUCUGUGACUUUCUUCGGAGAGGCACUAAAGCGCAAAGGUCGUGACGUGUAACGAUUUAAUCAAGGAGACAACCCGGUCGAGCUAUCAAGUAUUAGGCUAUAAUAACCUAACUAAGAAGUUUUAUUAUCUCGCAUUGCAUCUUGCUUGAUCAACACAUGCCAUGACCUGGUUAUUGUAUUUGUUAUAUUACAAUGGAUAGUCUUGGCUUGCUUUUGGACUAAAGCCUUUUGGUCUAUGUAUAGCUUGAUUUUGGACUGAAGCCUUUUGUUGUUUCGUGAACCAAUUCCUAUGUCCUGAAUGUGUAUGUAUCGAUGCAAUGAUUCUGAUAUAAAAUUAAUAUACUCCCUCCGUUUCUUUUUAGUCUGCAUAUAAGGUUUGGUCAAAGUCAAGCUUUGUAAGGUUUGACUAACUUUAUACCAAAAAAUAUAAACAUUGACAAUAUGAAAUCAAUAUUAUCAGAUGCAUCAUAAAAUGUGUUUUCAUAGUAUAUAGUUUAAUAUUGUAGAUGUUCAUAUUUUUUUAUAUAAAUUUGGUCAAACUUUAUGUAGUUUGACUUUGACCAAAUCUUAUAUGCGGGGUAAAAAGAAACGGAGGGAGUAUUAGAUUGAUAAACACACCUAUAUUAUGCUAUUUUUUAUUUUUGUAAUGCUUCAAUGACUGUAUUAUCGGGUUGGAUAUGACUAUACCUGACAGCAGUGCUGUCGGGUGCGGUAAGCCGCACUUCCUACCUAGUAUUAGAUGUUGAGGCAUGGGAAUGCUCAAGCUGAAGCUACUUGAUAGGGUUGUACUCCAUAGUAGGCAGGUUUGCAUUUUUUUACCACGUAAACUGGCUACUGUUUGUUCAUACGAUUUUAAUGAAAAAUCCACGUCGGCACUUGCUUCUACUGGCUCAGCCAGCGCAAGGGCCGCAUCGUCCACUACGACGCCGCUCGUGGCGGGCGCUGCUACGCGAGCCGCCGGAGGCGGAGCAGUCCAAGUGCCGGGUGGGGCGGGCGCUGGGCAAGGUGGGCGCGGCGCUCCGGCUAUGCGUGUUCGACAUCCGUGACGAGAAGGGCGACUCGAUGCUCCCGCAUGACGGCCUGGAGGGCGUGCACGGCGUGUGGCUGAUGGAGGGCGUGUCGGCGGCCUCGCGCCCGUCGUGGUAGCGCAUGCACGAGGAGUUGGUGGAGGACAUCUUGGUGUGGUACUUCCUGACCGGCGUCGAACGUGCAAUUCUUCAGGAGUGCGAGACAUCCCAUGCUCACGUAUACCUAUUUUUAUCUUUAUCUUUUCUUUACCUACUAAUCUUUACCUCGUGUGGAGAGGAGGUAGGUCGUCCCUCCUUGCGGACGCACGAACGAGGGUCUCAUGCUGCCGCCGUGCAUCAGGUGUUCCUGUUGUGCCCCCCUUGCUGCGUAGUUUUCAGCUCAUAGAUUAGAAGGCAAGGAUGUACUUGAGCGGUAUGAGAAGACCCAAUUCCGUUAUCUCAUAAGUCAGAAGUUUCCCAUUUACUGACUUUGGUACUACUUUUAAAAUGAACAGUCAAUCUACUAUCAACACCAUGAGUAUGUGUCAAUUGUAGAUUCUUAAUUGCUUAGAAUUAUUUUAUUUGUUU
Triticum dicoccoides is the source of this 2353-nucleotide long non-coding RNA. RefSeq lists it as uncharacterized. NCBI's taxonomy places the organism in Eukaryota, Viridiplantae, Streptophyta, Magnoliopsida, Poales, Poaceae. The transcript is spliced from 5 exons. The record is from RefSeq and is a predicted model, not a curated record.